This 1932-nucleotide ribosomal RNA is filed under the name Salmonella enterica. RNAcentral describes it as "partial 23S ribosomal RNA". It matches the Rfam family "Bacterial large subunit ribosomal RNA", at positions 1019 to 2925 of the family's 2925-position model. Lineage: Bacteria; Pseudomonadati; Pseudomonadota; Gammaproteobacteria; Enterobacterales; Enterobacteriaceae. The record is from RNAcentral.
GAAACAACCCAGACCGCCAGCUAAGGUCCCAAAGUCAUGGUUAAGUGGGAAACGAUGUGGGAAGGCCCAGACAGCCAGGAUGUUGGCUUAGAAGCAGCCAUCAUUUAAAGAAAGCGUAAUAGCUCACUGGUCGAGUCGGCCUGCGCGGAAGAUGUAACGGGGCUAAACCAUGCACCGAAGCUGCGGCAGCGACACUCAGGUGUUGUUGGGUAGGGGAGCGUUCUGUAAGCCUGCGAAGGUGGCCUGUGAGGGUUGCUGGAGGUAUCAGAAGUGCGAAUGCUGACAUAAGUAACGAUAAAGCGGGUGAAAAGCCCGCUCGCCGGAAGACCAAGGGUUCCUGUCCAACGUUAAUCGGGGCAGGGUGAGUCGACCCCUAAGGCGAGGCCGAAAGGCGUAGUCGAUGGGAAACGGGUUAAUAUUCCCGUACUUGGUGUUACUGCGAAGGGGGGACGGAGAAGGCUAUGUUGGCCGGGCGACGGUUGUCCCGGUUUAAGCGUGUAGGUGUGUGUUCCAGGUAAAUCCGGUUCACUUUAACACUGAGGCGUGAUGACGAGGCACUACGGUGCUGAAGCAACAAAUGCCCUGCUUCCAGGAAAAGCCUCUAAGCAUCAGGUAACAUCAAAUCGUACCCCAAACCGACACAGGUGGUCAGGUAGAGAAUACCAAGGCGCUUGAGAGAACUCGGGUGAAGGAACUAGGCAAAAUGGUGCCGUAACUUCGGGAGAAGGCACGCUGACACGUAGGUGAAGUGAUUUACUCAUGGAGCUGAAGUCAGUCGAAGAUACCAGCUGGCUGCAACUGUUUAUUAAAAACACAGCACUGUGCAAACACGAAAGUGGACGUAUACGGUGUGACGCCUGCCCGGUGCCGGAAGGUUAAUUGAUGGGGUCAGCGCAAGCGAAGCUCCUGAUCGAAGCCCCGGUAAACGGCGGCCGUAACUAUAACGGUCCUAAGGUAGCGAAAUUCCUUGUCGGGUAAGUUCCGACCUGCACGAAUGGCGUAAUGAUGGCCAGGCUGUCUCCACCCGAGACUCAGUGAAAUUGAACUCGCUGUGAAGAUGCAGUGUACCCGCGGCAAGACGGAAAGACCCCGUGAACCUUUACUAUAGCUUGACACUGAACAUUGAGCCUUGAUGUGUAGGAUAGGUGGGAGGCUUUGAAGUGUGGACGCCAGUCUGCAUGGAGCCGGCCUUGAAAUACCACCCUUUAAUGUUUGAUGUUCUAACGUGGACCCGUGAUCCGGGUUGCGGACAGUGUCUGGUGGGUAGUUUGACUGGGGCGGUCUCCUCCUAAAGAGUAACGGAGGAGCACGAAGGUUGGCUAAUCCUGGUCGGACAUCAGGAGGUUAGUGCAAUGGCAUAAGCCAGCUUGACUGCGAGCGUGACGGCGCGAGCAGGUGCGAAAGCAGGUCAUAGUGAUCCGGUGGUUCUGAAUGGAAGGGCCAUCGCUCAACGGAUAAAAGGUACUCCGGGGAUAACAGGCUGAUACCGCCCAAGAGUUCAUAUCGACGGCGGUGUUUGGCACCUCGAUGUCGGCUCAUCACAUCCUGGGGCUGAAGUAGGUCCCAAGGGUAUGGCUGUUCGCCAUUUAAAGUGGUACGCGAGCUGGGUUUAGAACGUCGUGAGACAGUUCGGUCCCUAUCUGCCGUGGGCGCUGGAGAACUGAGGGGGGCUGCUCCUAGUACGAGAGGACCGGAGUGGACGCAUCACUGGUGUUCGGGUUGUCAUGCCAAUGGCACUGCCCGGUAGCUAAAUGCGGAAGAGAUAAGUGCUGAAAGCAUCUAAGCACGAAACUUGCCCCGAGAUGAGUUCUCCCUGAGACUUUAGGUCUCCUGAAGGAACGUUGAAGACGACGACGUUGAUAGGCCGGGUGUGUAAGCGCAGCGAUGCGUUGAGCUAACCGGUACUAAUGAACCGUGAGGCUUAACCUUACA